This 226-nucleotide ribosomal RNA is filed under the name uncultured bacterium. RNAcentral describes it as "partial 16S ribosomal RNA". It matches the Rfam family "Bacterial small subunit ribosomal RNA", at positions 91 to 334 of the family's 1533-position model. The record is from RNAcentral.
CGGAGUGGCAGACGGGUGAGUAACACGUGGGAACAUACCCUUCGGUUCGGGAUAACUCAGGGAAACUUGAGCUAAUACCGGAUACGUCCGCGAGGAGAAAGAUUCAUCGCCGGAGGAUUGGCCCGCGUCUGAUUAGCUUGUUGGUGAGGUAAUGGCUCACCAAGGCGACGAUCAGUAGCUGGUCUGAGAGGACGAUCAGCCACACUGGGACUAAGACACGGCCCAG